Molecule: ribosomal RNA, 1347 nt
Filed under: uncultured bacterium
Lineage: Bacteria
Description: bacterial SSU rRNA
Rfam family: Bacterial small subunit ribosomal RNA
Source: RNAcentral
GACGAACGCUGGCGGCGUGCUUAACACAUGCAAGUCGAACGAUGAAGCCUAGCUUGCUAGGUGGAUUAGUGGCGAACGGGUGAGUAAUACGUGAGUAACCUACCUUUAACUCUGGGAUAAGCCUGGGAAACUGGGUCUAAUACCGGAUACGACCAAUCUCCGCGUGGGGUGUUGGUGGAAAGCGUUAUGUAGUGGUUAUAGAUGGGCUCACGGCCUAUCAGCUUGUUGGUGAGGUAACGGCUCACCAAGGCGACGACGGGUAGCCGGCCUGAGAGGGUGACCGGCCACACUGGGACUGAGACACGGCCCAGACUCCUACGGGAGGCAGCAGUGGGGAAUAUUGCACAAUGGGCGCAAGCCUGAUGCAGCGACGCCGCGUGAGGGAUGACGGCCUUCGGGUUGUAAACCUCUGUUAGCAGGGAAGAAGAGAAAUUGACGGUACCUGCAGAGAAAGCGCCGGCUAACUACGUGCCAGCAGCCGCGGUAAUACGUAGGGCGCGAGCGUUGUCCGGAAUUAUUGGGCGUAGAGAGCUUGUAGGCGGUUUGUCGCGUCUGCUGUGAAGGCCGGGGCUUAACCCCGUGUAUUGCAGUGGGUACGGGCAGACUAGAGUGCAGUAGGGGAGACUGGAAUUCCUGGUGUAGCGGUGGAAUGCGCAGAUAUCAGGAGGAACACCGAUGGCGAAGGCAGGUCUCUGGGCUGUAACUGACGCUGAGAAGCGAAAGCAUGGGGAGCGAACAGGAUUAGAUACCCUGGUAGUCCAUGCCGUAAACGUUGGGCACUAGGUGUGGGGAACAUUCCACGUUUUCCGCGCCGUAGCUAACGCAUUAAGUGCCCCGCCUGGGGAGUACGGCCGCAAGGCUAAAACUCAAAGAAAUUGACGGGGGCCCGCACAAGCGGCGGAGCAUGCGGAUUAAUUCGAUGCAACGCGAAGAACCUUACCAAGGCUUGACAUAUACUGGACCGCAUCAGAGAUGGUGUUUCCCUUCGGGGCUGGUGUACAGGUGGUGCAUGGUUGUCGUCAGCUCGUGUCGUGAGAUGUUGGGUUAAGUCCCGCAACGAGCGCAACCCUCGUUCUAUGUUGCCAGCACGUAAUGGUGGGGACUCAUAGGAGACUGCCGGGGUCAACUCGGAGGAAGGUGGGGAUGACGUCAAAUCAUCAUGCCCCUUAUGUCUUGGGCUUCACGCAUGCUACAAUGGCCGGUACAGAGGGUUGCGAUACUGUGAGGUGGAGCUAAUCCCUAAAAGCCGGUCUCAGUUCGGAUUGGGGUCUGCAACUCGACCCCAUGAAGUCGGAGUCGCUAGUAAUCGCAGAUCAGCAACGCUGCGGUGAAUACGUUCCCGGGCCU